This is a non-coding RNA of Podarcis lilfordi (Lilford's wall lizard), 379 nucleotides long. NCBI's taxonomy places the organism in Eukaryota, Metazoa, Chordata, Lepidosauria, Squamata, Lacertidae. The record is from the annotation of a GenBank genome assembly.
CUUUUCUGUUUCCAGCAGGACACACCUGGCAAUGGAUGUGACAUUCAGCACUGCCCAGGUUUCUUCCACUUGGAGGAGGCAAAGUGGUGAAUGGAAGGAGGCAAUCCUCUGGCAGUGGGAUGCUAGGGAGCGAUAAUAACGCAAGUUAGCUUGCUUGAAGGCUGUUGGUAUCCGUGGUUGGAAGCUGGUGGACGUCUCAUGAUGGACCUAAGAGAAGCUGGCAGAUGUUGGUGGAUGGAAGCCAGUGGCAUUUGAAUUUGGAAGUUGGUGGGGGCUACAAGGCUAAAGCAGACUGAUGUUUGUGGAUGUCGGCUGAUGGAAGUUCACCUUUGGAAGACAGUCAACAGAAGUCAGUGGAUAUUUGUGGAUUGAAGCCAGG